UUGUGGAGGAGGACGCCGAAGGUGGGGCUGAUGACUGGGGUGAAGUCGUAACAAGGUAGCCGUACCGGAAGGUGCGGCUGGAUCACCUCCUAACAGGGAGACAAAACUGAUUAUGAUGUCUGAUUAAAAAAUUAGGCCUUAAUCCUGUCACCUUAGGUCGAUCGGUACCUCAGAUUGAGAGCUUUAGAAUGAGGAGUAAUUCUUAUAUUUCGUUUUCAAUUUCAGUUCCUAAACUUGUCUAGGUCACACCCAACAAACUUUCUCCUGGGCUAUUAGCUCAGGCGGUUAGAGCGCACCCCUGAUAAGGGUGAGGUCCCUGGUUCAAGUCCAGGAUGGCCCAUUCGGUGUUGGGGGUAUAGCUCAGUUGGUAGAGCGCCUGCUUUGCAAGCAGGAUGUCAGCGGUUCGAGUCCGCUUACCUCCACUGAUCAACUACCUAAUAACUCUUUAUAAAGGGGAAUUUUUCUUGAUGUGUGCUUUAGACGUUGUUCGUUGAAUGAACCUAACUUCAUAUCAUUCCUUAAAACAUAACUUUUGAGGCUGGUAAGACGUUGGGCUCUCUGCAUUUCAAAUAAUUGAUUUGCAAGAAAGUUCAGCAGAACCUUGACAACUGCAUAGAAAAGUCUGGAAAGAAUAAAGCAUCUCAUAGAUGUAUAUAAUCUAUUGAUUUAUCAAUUGGUUAUAUAUUCAAUUCUAAUGAAAAAGCCGAGUAUCUAUAGUUCUUUCUUUAUACUUAUAACUGAAUAAUUUCAGCUUAAUUUGUGUAUAGAUAGGAAACUUUAGAUAAUUAUAUGGUCAAGCUACAA
Molecule: unclassified non-coding RNA, 804 nt
Filed under: uncultured Prochlorococcus sp.
Lineage: Bacteria; Bacillati; Cyanobacteriota; Cyanophyceae; Synechococcales; Prochlorococcaceae
Description: partial 16S-23S ribosomal RNA intergenic spacer; may also contain 16S ribosomal RNA and 23S ribosomal RNA
Rfam family: Bacterial small subunit ribosomal RNA (bases 1-93)
Source: RNAcentral